GAACGCGAAGAACCUUACCAGGYCUUGACAUCCCUUGACAACUCCAGAGAUGGAGCGUUCCCUUCGGGGACAAGGUGACAGGUGGUGCAUGGUUGUCGUCAGCUCGUGUCGUGAGAUGUUGGGUUAAGUCCCGCAACGAGCGCAACCCUUAUUACUAGUUGCCAGCAUUUAGUUGGGCACUCUAGUGAGACUGCCGGUGACAAACCGGAGGAAGGUGGGGAUGACGUCAAAUCAUCAUGCCCCUUAUGACCUGGGCUACACACGUGCUACAAUGGCGUAUACAACGAGUUGCCAACCCGCGAGGGUGAGCUAAUCUCUUAAAGUACGUCUCAGUUCGGAUUGUAGGCUGCAACUCGCCUACAUGAAGUCGGAACCGCUAGUAAUCGCGGAUCAGCACGCCGCGGUGAAUACGUUCCCGGGUCUUGUACACACCGA
Molecule: ribosomal RNA, 435 nt
Filed under: uncultured bacterium
Lineage: Bacteria
Description: bacterial SSU rRNA
Rfam family: Bacterial small subunit ribosomal RNA
Source: RNAcentral